GACGGGGUUUCUCCGUGCUGGUCAGGCUUGUCUCGAACUCCUACCUCAGGUGAUCCACCUGCCUCGGCCUCCCAGAGUGCUGGGAUUACAGUCAUGAGCCACCGCACCCGACUGGGUCUUUAUAAAUCUAUAAAAUGUACUUCCAUCUGUAUGCCUAAUAUGUCUUUUUGUGUAUUUAUGUGUCGUAUACAAAAUGUUUCACUACUAAAAAGAGCUCUAGUUAAUUGACAUAAAAAUAAAAGUGCUUAAAUCAGAUACUAAAAAACGACUAGUCAAAUGCUUUUUCAAGUUUAUGUAACAAAUAAAAUCUUUAAUAAAUAAGCUAGCUUUAAAAUUAUUGGCAAAGUAAUAUUAGAAAUGUGUUAAGAAUUGCCAGCAUACAUUUUUGUUUGUAUUUGUUAAUCAAGCAAUUUCAUACUUACCCCUGCCAAAUACUAUAAGGUGUCAAAAUUUGACAUAAGGGUUACAAAACCCAACCCAAAUCAGAAUGAUCUUUGCUUGUGUAAUUUUUAAUAAAUAAGACAUUGAUAUGGGUAUAGUGAAAAUAGCUACAUCUUGAAUUUAGUAAGAUUACUAUAACUUCUAAUCCUGCAGCUAUAGGCAGUCUAGUUUCCAGACAAUGGGAAGGUUUGUUUUGGGAAAGGACUGUUAUCAUCUUUGUUUCAUAACUAAAUUGUAAACUAAGUUCCUCCCAAAGUUAGUUCAGCCUAUGCCCAGGAAUGAACAAGGACAGCUUGGAGGUUAAGAGCAAGAUGGAGUCAAUUAGGUCAAAUCUUUUUUUUUUUUUUUUUUUUGAGAUGGAGUUUUGUUCUUGCUGCCCAGACAGGAGGGCAAUGGUGGCAUCUCGGCUCACUGCAACCUCCGCCUCCACGUUCAAGCAAUUCUCCUGCCUCAGCCUCCCUAAAGGAAGAAAGAGACCCUUUCAUAUUGUUUUAUACUCAAUACCUAUUUAAAGAAAAAAACAAGGAAGUGAAAUCAAAGACAGGCAGUCCGGCUCCAGGCCCGAAACCAGGCCUGGGCCUGCUUGGCCUAAACCCAGUAGUUAAAAAUCAACUCAUAACUUAGAAACCAAUGUUAUUCAUAGAUUCCCGACAUUGUAUAAAAGAACACUGUGAUACUCCCUGCCCUGUUCUGUCUCACUCUGACCACCGGUGCAUGCAGCCCGUCACGUACCCCCCUGCUUGCUCAAAUCAAUCACGACUCUUUCAUGUGAAAUCUUUAGUGUUGUGAGCCCUUAAAAGGGACAGAAAUUGUGCACUCGGGGAGCUUGGAUUUUGAGGCGGUAGCUUGCUGAUGCUCUCAUCUGAAUAAAGCCCUUCCUUCUACAACUUGGUGUCUGAGAGGUUUUGUCUGCAGCUCGUUCUGCUACAUUUCUUGGUCCCCUGAGAGGGAAACAAGGUGACUGAUGGAUGGCUGAGGCAGCCCCUUAGGCGGCUUAGGCCUGCCCCGUGGAGCAUCCCUGCAGGGGACUCCGGCCAGCCUGAGUGAUGUGAUCCAAAGAGCGCUGCCAGGUAGGAAAUUGCCCCGGUGGAACGCCUCGCCGGAGCAGCGCGUAGCAGGCCCCCGUGGAGGAUCAACACAGUGGCUGAACACCGGGAAGGAACUGGCACUUGGAGUCUGGACAUCUAAAAGUUGGCGCUGCGGGCAGAAUCAAACGCAUCACUCCCAACUCCCACUGCAGAAGAAAAGCUAUUCAACUGUCAGUGGUGGAGGAGCGCAUGUGGUGGCAGUUUCAGGUACAAAUGAUGUACUGCACUUUCAGACGCGGAUCUUGGAAAUCCAGGACUUCUCGGUAAAGUUGACUGAAGUUCUGGAGGCUGGGACGUCCAAGGUCAAGAUGCUGACAAAUGAUGAGAGCUUUCUUGCUGCAUCCUCACGUGGAAGAAGGUGGAAGGGCAAGAGAGAAGAAACUAAUGCUAGCAAAUGCCUCUUUUAAAAGGGACUUAGUCCCAUUAACAAAGAAGCAGGUCUUAUGGCCUAAUCAUCUCAUAAAAGCACCACCUCUUAAUACUAUCACAUUGGCAAUACCUUAAUUUUGGAGGGGACACAUUCAAACCAUAGCAGAGACCGCUAAGUAUAGGGAAGACUAAACCCGAGAACCAAGUGGCCAGAAGCCCGCACUAGCUCAGCUGAUUCUGCUAUUACACUUAGAUAAGGUAUGAGCCUUUUGCUACUGAAUCAACAGAAAGGCUGCCCAAAAGCAAUGAGUCUCAGAUGCCUCCCAUGAAGUUCACACAUCACACCAGGACUUCUACUCAUACGUGAAAAGCUAGAGAAUCAUGUUUAGGUAGGCAAGGGGAGAGAGGUCCUGGACAGGUUAUUGAAGGACUAAUUUUAAAUUACAAAAUACCUCUUUAUGUUUAGUUUGCAAACAAAAAGAGUCAAUUAGUGAAGGCUUGGCUGAGCUGAUUUCAGAAACAGUGGGAACCCACUUUUUGCGGUAGUUAGGAAGCCUCAGGGUCUUUUUAAAUGUAUCCUAAUUACUAGCCUAGGUAAGUCUUAAAAGAGCUAUAGUUUGUUGGGAGAAAGGGAUUUGCCUUCUUUAGAAAAAUCAUCUUUGGUAAUGCACUUGGUUUUGACAAAACCAAGUGCACUGGUUUUUGUUACUUUCCUUUAAAAAUUCUGUCUUUUUAAAACAUUCCCGGAACUCAUCUGCUCU
Molecule: long non-coding RNA, 2659 nt
Organism: Pongo pygmaeus (Bornean orangutan)
Lineage: Eukaryota; Metazoa; Chordata; Mammalia; Primates; Hominidae
Exons: 3
Source: RefSeq, a predicted model, not a curated record